UGGGGAAUUUUGGACAAUGGGCGAAAGCCUGAUCCAGCAAUGCCGCGUGUGUGAAGAAGGCCUUCGGGUUGUAAAGCACUUUUGUCCGGAAAGAAAUCCUUGGCUCUAAUACAGUCGGGGGAUGACGGUACCGGAAGAAUAAGCACCGGCUAACUACGUGCCAGCAGCCGCGGUAAUACGUAGGGUGCAAGCGUUAAUCGGAAUUACUGGGCGUAAAGCGUGCGCAGGCGGUUUGCUAAGACCGAUGUGAAAUCCCCGGGCUCAACCUGGGAACUGCAUUGGUGACUGGCAGGCUAGAGUAUGGCAGAGGGGGGUAGAAUUCCACGUGUAGCAGUGAAAUGCGUAGAGAUGUGGAGGAAUACCGAUGGCGAAGGCAGCCCCCUGGGCCAAUACUGACGCUCAUGCACGAAAAGCGUGGGGGAGCAAAACAGGAUUAGAUACCCCUGGUAGUCCACGCCCUAAACGAUGUCAACUAGUUGUUGGGGAUUCAUUUCCUUAGUAACGUAGCUAACGCGUGAAGUUGACCGCCUGGGGAGUACGGUCGCAAGAUUAAAACUCAAAUGAAUUGACGGGGU
Molecule: ribosomal RNA, 575 nt
Filed under: uncultured bacterium
Lineage: Bacteria
Description: partial 16S ribosomal RNA
Rfam family: Bacterial small subunit ribosomal RNA
Source: RNAcentral